AUCGCUUCUCGGCCUUUUGGCUAAGAUCAAGUGUAGUAUCUGUUCUUAUCAGUUUGCACUUGUUUCUCGGCCGUGGCUAAGACUGCGAUCGUCUCCUUCGGGUGCUUGGUCUACUAAAAGAAUCAAGAAACUACUUCGGGUUUCCCUUCACUUUGAAGGUAAGUUUUUUUACUGUUUGCCUUUUUUUGAAAAUAUUC
Molecule: small nuclear RNA, 197 nt
Organism: Oreochromis aureus
Lineage: Eukaryota; Metazoa; Chordata; Actinopteri; Cichliformes; Cichlidae
Gene: U2
Rfam family: U2 spliceosomal RNA
About the family: U2 is a small nuclear RNA (snRNA) component of the spliceosome (involved in pre-mRNA splicing). Complementary binding between U2 snRNA (in an area lying towards the 5' end but 3' to hairpin I) and the branchpoint sequence (BPS) of the intron results the bulging out of an unpaired adenosine, on the BPS, which initiates a nucleophilic attack at the intronic 5' splice site, thus starting the first of two transesterification reactions that mediate splicing.
Source: Ensembl